This 81-nucleotide transfer RNA is filed under the name Spirochaetia bacterium. Its description in RNAcentral is "tRNA-Leu". It matches the Rfam family "tRNA". From Rfam's summary of the family: Transfer RNA (tRNA) molecules are approximately 80 nucleotides in length. Their secondary structure includes four short double-helical elements and three loops (D, anti-codon, and T loops). Further hydrogen bonds mediate the characteristic L-shaped molecular structure. tRNAs have two regions of fundamental functional importance: the anti-codon, which is responsible for specific mRNA codon recognition, and the 3' end, to which the tRNAs corresponding amino acid is attached (by aminoacyl-tRNA synthetases). tRNAs cope with the degeneracy of the genetic code in two manners: having more than one tRNA (with a specific anti-codon) for a particular amino acid; and 'wobble' base-pairing, i.e. permitting non-standard base-pairing at the 3rd anti-codon position. The record is from RNAcentral. Lineage: Bacteria; Pseudomonadati; Spirochaetota; Spirochaetia.
GCGAGAGUGGUGAAAUUGGUAGACACGCCAGCCUUAGGAGCUGGUGCCUUUGGUUUACGGGUUCGAGUCCCGUCUCUCGCA